UCCCAGGUCUUAUACUCCACCCAACCCUUGA
RNAcentral lists this non-coding RNA (31 nucleotides) under Rattus norvegicus (Norway rat). The record is from RNAcentral. Lineage: Eukaryota; Metazoa; Chordata; Mammalia; Rodentia; Muridae.